This 219-nucleotide small nucleolar RNA is filed under the name Helianthus annuus (common sunflower). Its description in RNAcentral is "Plant small nucleolar RNA U3". It matches the Rfam family "Plant small nucleolar RNA U3". Rfam says of the family: Small nucleolar RNAs (snoRNAs) are involved in the processing and modification of rRNA in the nucleolus. There are two main classes of snoRNAs: the box C/D class, and the box H/ACA class. Lineage: Eukaryota; Viridiplantae; Streptophyta; Magnoliopsida; Asterales; Asteraceae. The record is from RNAcentral.
ACGACCUUACUUGAACAGGAUCUGUUCUAUAGGCUCGUACCUCUGUAUUCUUGAUUCCUAAGAAGACAGAAACCCAUGUCUGGUUGAUGAAUCAGGACCAUGUGACCAGAGCGUGAUUAACGGAGCUCAUGGUCUUUCUUAACCAUGGCUCGGUAGAAGAUCGUUGCCACAGCCCAUCUGAUGGGUCUUUGGCAUGGUCACAUGGUUGUCUGACAGACA